UUCACUCGAAUCUUCUUUCUCCCUCCCCGUGUCUCUGAAACCCAGAACUCCAAAAGUGAAGCGUCCCCAAUGGCUUCGUCCCCAUUGGCUUCGUCCCCAAUGGCUUACCGACGCCAUCUUAGUUGGUUCUGCCGGAUUUUUACCGCUGCCGUCCCCAAAAAGACAAGAUCUUUACCCCAAAAACCCCGUGAAGCGUCCCCAAUGGCUUCGAUUUGAAAUAAUUUGGCUUCGAAGGAAAAAAGCAUGGUGAAGCUUCGAAGAAAAAACCUUAUAGAUCUGAAUAAUUUGGCUUUCUUCAACGUUCUGAAAUAACAGAUCUGAAAGUGACUGAAAUACUUUGGCUUUCUUUCCCAUUCUCCAUCUCCAACAGAAGAGGGCGACUAUUGAUGAUGAAGAUUGAAGAAUGUUUUUUAUUUUUUUGGAUCUAUGUAAAAGUUGUAAUAAAUUGUAAAUUUUAAUGUUUGGAUAUUAAAUUUUGGGGUUUUUUGUGUGUUAGAUCUAUUUUUUUUUGUUUCAAAUUGUGUGUUAGAUCUAAAUUUUUUGUUUUCAAAUUGUAUACGAGGUUCUGUUCUUCUCUUUAUUUUUUCUUUCUUCUCUUUAUUUCUUUUGUGCGUCUCACAGAGAUGAUUGAAUCUGGAAUUUUAGUUCCAAAAAUAAUUUUUUUUUAUUAAAAUAGUGAUUUGCGUCGCACAUAGCCUAUUGUGCGACGCAAAUCACUAAUGUGCGUCGCACCCUUGGCAAUGUGCGACGCACAUUAUCUCUGCAUUACUCUGAAAUGGGCUGGGAUAGCCAUCUGCGUCGCACCGUAUACGAGGUGCGACGCAAAUAGAUGAAAAUGUGCGUCGGAUCUGCAUUCGACGCAGAUCAUUGAAAGUCAUUUGCGUCGAGGCCUGUGGCGUCGGACCCAUGUCCGACGCAAAUAGGCGCCUCACAUCCGACGCAAAUCGCCUAUUCUGUACUAGUGCAUGGAACAGUGCAUGUAGUCUAUUCAUAGGCGAUGAACAUUAGGUCAGUUUUCCUUUAUAUAGAAUCUUCUAUGUACACGAGCAUAAUGUAAUAAGAGCCGUAUACGUUAGUAUUAUUGCUCGGAUCACUUGUAAGGC
This is a long non-coding RNA of Beta vulgaris subsp. vulgaris (sugar beet), 1103 nucleotides long. RefSeq lists it as uncharacterized. Lineage: Eukaryota; Viridiplantae; Streptophyta; Magnoliopsida; Caryophyllales; Amaranthaceae. The transcript is spliced from 3 exons. The record is from RefSeq and is a predicted model, not a curated record.